RNAcentral lists this transfer RNA (73 nucleotides) under Mesocricetus auratus (golden hamster). It matches the Rfam family "tRNA". Rfam says of the family: Transfer RNA (tRNA) molecules are approximately 80 nucleotides in length. Lineage: Eukaryota; Metazoa; Chordata; Mammalia; Rodentia; Cricetidae. The record is from Rfam by way of RNAcentral.
GGGGCGGUAGCUCAGCGGUUAAGAGCGCUGGCUGUUCUUCCAGAGGACCUAGGUCCAAUCCCUAGCACCCACA